RNAcentral lists this ribosomal RNA (253 nucleotides) under uncultured bacterium. RNAcentral describes it as "partial 16S ribosomal RNA". It matches the Rfam family "Bacterial small subunit ribosomal RNA", at positions 524 to 776 of the family's 1533-position model. The record is from RNAcentral.
UACGGGGGGGGCAAGCGUUGUUCGGAAUUACUGGGCGUAAAGGGUUCGUAGGUGGCCUACUAAGUCAGACGUGAAAUCCCUCAGCUUAACUGGGGAACUGCGUCUGAUACUGGGGGGCUUGAGUGCAGGAGAGGAACGCGGAAUUCCAGGUGUAGCGGUGAAAUGCGUAGAUAUCUGGAGGAACACCGGUGGCGAAGGCGGCGUUCUGGACUGCAACUGACACUGAGGAACGAAAGCCAGGGGAGCAAACGGG